RNAcentral lists this transfer RNA (83 nucleotides) under Deltaproteobacteria bacterium ADurb.Bin207. Its description in RNAcentral is "tRNA-Leu". It matches the Rfam family "tRNA". From Rfam's summary of the family: Transfer RNA (tRNA) molecules are approximately 80 nucleotides in length. Their secondary structure includes four short double-helical elements and three loops (D, anti-codon, and T loops). The record is from RNAcentral. Lineage: Bacteria; Deltaproteobacteria.
GCACGAGUGGCGGAAUUGGCAGACGCACUGGAUUUAGGUUCCAGCGCCGAGAGGCGUGAGGGUUCAAGUCCCUCCUCGUGCAC